Athalia rosae (coleseed sawfly) is the source of this 2695-nucleotide long non-coding RNA. RefSeq lists it as uncharacterized. Lineage: Eukaryota; Metazoa; Arthropoda; Insecta; Hymenoptera; Athaliidae. The transcript has 15 exons. The record is from RefSeq and is a predicted model, not a curated record.
CUGCGUCCAGAUAGCUUUGGGGUAGUUGGCCGUUGCUAUUUUUUGCACAAAGUAAAUCCAUUUGAGAUGGCAGAGGAGCAGCUGUUUGUCGAGGAUCUUCAGGAUGUGGACCAACAUCUUCUCCGCGCAACCAGAGUUGAUACCUGCCACGUAUUAAUGACAAAAAUUAUUUGUGAGGUUGUUGAUGGAGAUUAACAUUGUUAACCAAAAUACCUUUCUGGUUGAAAGCGUUUCACGAACGUAUCCAUAGAAAUCUUGACCAUAUCCUUACUGCAAGAGCAUUGAGUGGCCCGUUUUCCGUAUUCGACCCACCUGGGUGUCGCAAAAUUUGUGGACUCAGCACAGUUAAAACCAUGAUUGAAUCCCGCGUGAUAACCGUACGGAAAAGUGAUCAUGAUUUCGCCUUCUUCUUGAGUUAUCUGUAGAAUGGGAUGGAAUAUUGCUUAAGAACUUGUGGUGAUAUGAGGGACAUCUUGUGCCUCAAGAAAGCCUGACAGCUCUGAUAACUUGACGUGAAAAAUCCAUUAGCCAAUCUUUCUAGUCUCCGUCCGUGCUCAGGUGGUAUGGCGUACCAUGUCUUGGGUGCACCAAAGUGAAGAUGGUUGAUGUUCCAUUCUUUAACCUCGGGGUCAGUGAGUGAACCGGAAACAUCAGCACCAUAAAUUGGAGCUACACCCUGCUUUCCAUCGACUACUUGACAGAUGGGUGCUGGUAUUGUAAUAUCUAAAUCAUCCAAAUGAUAGCCGGACUUUCUUGCUACCCAUUGAGCCGGCGGUAUAACUUUAGCUAUUCCAGCUUUGUGUGCACCUUUACUUUCCAUAUGAACAAUUUGCAGAAAAAUCAACCUCAAGGCUUUUGGGAAAAAAACUUUUCAACUCACCGACAAUGGAUACAAAAACGUAAUCGCUAUAUCCUCGCCUCGAUCCGACUGAGCGAUGCAGGUCAAUUCACCCAUAUCGCUCCAAAGUAGAGGGAAGAUCACAAGCUCUCCACUUCCCAGUACCUGAACAAACCCUUUGACGUACCUGGCGAAGUGGCUCUGCACCUCUCAGCCAGUGGAUUUGAGGCAUGGGACUUCCUAUAGCUUCGCACUCCAAUUCGAUGUGAGAUCUAUGUUUGUCUGGUUUGGGCAACACUCGCAGGUGGCGCUACCAUUACAUCGCGAUCGAUUUCAUUUUCCUCGAUCGCCGCUUCUUCGUCCGCAUCUUCUUGAACACGUUCCCUCAAAAAUGACAAUGGUACACCGUUCGUUUUAUGUGGAAUCGUGGAUACCAGAAGCAGUAAGCCUGCCGAGAACAUUAUGGCGAGUCGAUGCAUCUGAAAUUAUAGAACAGAGACUUUUGACGUUUUACCUCUUAACUCCAAGCCCUUCAAUAGAUUCAUCAGGAACCUUUUGAUCAACACCGAGAUGAAGUCUGAAGAAUUGGAAAGUCCCGUUAUAAAAUGAAACAUAAAUUAGCAAUUUUAAAUCCAACAAAAGAAACCACACGACGAACCUGUUAUAAAGAUUUAUGUACAUGAUGAUGAGCGUAAAAAAUUUAUCUAUAAUCGCACCAAUUUUUCAUCCAUAGACACAGUUAUACAAGGAGUUCGAAGGGGCAUUGAGUUUUAUGGAAAGUUGAAGAAAACCAUGAGAAGUCGGAGGUCCUGGCGUAUAUAUCUGGUUAUAUGCGACCUAUGUACGUAUAUAGACCGGAGAUUUGAAGAGAGCUAGAAGUUGAAUCUUCGUAAUUCUCGUUGACCCGGUUUUGAGAGAGGAAAUGCGCGAUGACGUAAAGAAAUCUACCGGACAUAUGGGUUAUUUAUUCAUAGAAAAUCCCGAUGAGGUUCGCAUUUGAUUAUCGUUAAGCGCCCGGAGCAGAACCGACUUUCCAGAGUUUUCAGAAAAUGAGUAUGGCUGCAGUAUGAGUUGUAGCAACAGCGGCUGUGGAGCUGGAGUUGGAUAUGUUUUCCAAAUUUAUAUUCUACGCCCGGUACCUACCCGCCUAAUUUGUAUAUUCCAAUGAGAGGAAUGAAAAAAAGAACAAUAAUAAGAAAAAUGUGAUGCAUACGUAAGCGCACGUGUGUGCACAAGAUUAUCAUUCCACACCACGUCAACCUGGGAACUGAUUUGCAGAGGGUUAGUGCCGGUCAAUUUAUACGUUCAAAAACAACAAUGCUAUCCCUCGCUCUACUAGGAUUGGCUGUCACGACGAGGUGGGGGUUUUCCUUGGCAACCAAUCAUUUUCAACAGAGAGAGCUCUAAAGCCUUUUAGUUAAAAGUUCUUAUUCGUAUACCGAACGUUGGACACAGGACAGUAUACUAGGUCCGUGAUGACGUUCUUCUCUACGAUGCAUACCUCUACCUACAUCAGCAGCAGCAGUAGUAGCACCAGCAGCAGCGGUACCCGCAGCAACGUCAUUAUUAACGUUAAUGAAACGCUUACCCAUGGGAUAGUUAAAAAGCCUGGAGCCCCACGAUAUUUGAGGCAUGAAUAAUCAUCCGUACUACGAAAGCAAUUUUAAUUGCGGGAAAUGUAGUACGUAUACCUAUCCAGGUAUAAUAGGUAUUAUGGAAAAUGAAAAGAGAAAAGAUAAUCGUGGAUGUCAUAGGGAGAUACGCAUACGUGGUAUCUAGAUGCUCUUGUCGGAAGAUUUUUAAUUCCCUGUGACAGUUUGGGGAUCCUCGGACGGACGAAUGUUUUUCCUUUUUUUU